UGUUGGGUUAAGUCCCGCAACGAGCGCAACCCUCGUUCUAUGUUGCCAGCACGUAAUGGUGGGAACUCAUAGGAGACUGCCGGGGUCAACUCGGAGGAAGGUGGGGAUGACGUCAAAUCAUCAUGCCCCUUAUGUCUUGGGCUUCACGCAUGCUACAAUGGCCGGUACAAAGGGCUGCAAUACCGCAAGGUGGAGCGAAUCCCAAAAAGCCGGUCUCAGUUCGGAUUGAGGUCUGCAACUCGACCUCAUGAAGUCGGAGUCGCUAGUAAUCGCAGAUCAGCAACGCUGCGGUGAAUACGUUCCCGGGCCUUGUACACACCGCCCGUCAAGUCAUGAAAGUCGGUAACACCCGAAGCCAGUGGCCCAACCGCAAGGA
Molecule: ribosomal RNA, 376 nt
Filed under: uncultured Actinomycetes bacterium
Lineage: Bacteria; Bacillati; Actinomycetota; Actinomycetes
Description: bacterial SSU rRNA
Rfam family: Bacterial small subunit ribosomal RNA
Source: RNAcentral